UACAGCGACUGCAAGCGUUAUUCGGAUUCACUGGGCGUAAAGGGUGCGCAGGCGGUUGGGUGUGUCAGAUGUGAAAUCCCGAGGCUCAACCUCGGAACUGCGUCUGAAACUACUCGACUAGAGUACUGGAGAGGGUAACGGAAUUCACGGUGUAGCAGUGAAAUGCGUAGAUAUCGUGAGGAACACCAGAGGCGAAGGCGGUUACCUGGACAGUUACUGACGCUCAGGCACGAAAGCAUGGGGAGCAAAAGGG
Molecule: ribosomal RNA, 253 nt
Filed under: uncultured bacterium
Lineage: Bacteria
Description: partial 16S ribosomal RNA
Rfam family: Bacterial small subunit ribosomal RNA
Source: RNAcentral